RNAcentral lists this ribosomal RNA (472 nucleotides) under uncultured Actinomycetes bacterium. RNAcentral describes it as "bacterial SSU rRNA". It matches the Rfam family "Bacterial small subunit ribosomal RNA", at positions 28 to 507 of the family's 1533-position model. Lineage: Bacteria; Bacillati; Actinomycetota; Actinomycetes. The record is from RNAcentral.
GACGAACGCUGGCGGCGCGCCUAAUGCAUGCAAGUCGAGCGACGCAUAUCGGAGGAGUAAUCCACUGGUAUGACGGAGCGGCGAACGGGUGAGUAUCACGUGAGAAACCUGCCCCGAAGACCGGGAUAGCCCGGGGAAACCCGGAUUAAUACCGGAUACCCUCUACAGAUCGCAUGGUCUGUUGAGGAAAGGCCUUUGCGCUUCGGGAUGGUCUCGCGGCCUAUCAGCUAGUUGGUGAGGUAACGGCUCACCAAGGCAUCGACGGGUAGCUGGUCUGAGAGGACGAUCAGCCACACUGGGACUGAGACACGGCCCAGACUCCUACGGGAGGCAGCAGCAGGGAAUCUUGUCCAAUGGGCGCAAGCCUGAGACAGCGACGCCGCGUGGGGGAUGAAGGCCUUCGGGUUGUAAACCCCUUUCAGGAGGGACGAAAUUGACGGUACCUCCAGAAGAAGCCCCGGCCAACUACGUG